AUGAAGUCAGCGACACAGGUGUGCCAAAGCACAGUGACACGUCCAGGCGUGAUGGCCAUGGCAGUGGACUGUAUCGUGAAAUUGGGCGGCAGUGCGCUGACGCAGAAGAAUCAGCUGGAGACUCUACGAGCGGAGUCCUUGGAGCGAGCGGCUGCAAUUGUAUCUCGGCUCUGCGCAGGAGAGAGGCGAUGCAUUGUCGUACACGGGGCAGGUUCUUUUGGACAUUUCCAAGCAAAGGAAUAUGGUGUUGCUUCUGGAAUAUCAGCAGGAUCAGCUGCAAAUGACAGUUUGAGACAAGGACUGUGUCUGACCAGGCUUUCUGUCACCAAGCUGAACCAUUUGGUGACAGAACAGUUGGUAAAAUGUGGUGUUCCGGCAGUGGGCAUUUCGCCUUUUGGAGCUUGGAAAACAAAAUGCAAGAAAAUCAGUCAGGUUGCCAUCGACACAGUGAGUGACGUUCUAAAUUCAGGUUAUGUGCCAGUUUUACAUGGUGACUGUGCUCUUGAUGUAGAACAGCACUGCUGUAUCUUAUCUGGAGAUACAAUUAUUGAGUAAAUGUAUUUUGCAACUGGCAUGAAACUGGAGAACCAAAGUUACAGAUCUCUGCUAUUAAAAGGUUUCAAGGACUAGCAAGAUGUCCAUCCUAUGACAGAGACUGCAUGUGUGGAGAAAAAGGUUGUAAAGGUCCCAUGAAGCAUUUUGAUGCUUGGAAGCUAAGACAGAAG
RNAcentral lists this long non-coding RNA (725 nucleotides) under Salvator merianae (Argentine black and white tegu). RNAcentral describes it as "lncRNA (ENSSMRG00000004011.1)". The record is from RNAcentral. Lineage: Eukaryota; Metazoa; Chordata; Lepidosauria; Squamata; Teiidae.